ACUCCUACGGGAGGCAGCAGUAGGGAAUCUUGGUCAAUGGGCGAAAGCCUGAACCAGCGAUGCCGCGUGUGUGAAGAAGGCCUUAGGGUUGUAAAGCACUUUCAGCAGUGAAGAAACCCCGGUGGUUAAUACCUGCCGGAUUUGACGUUAACUGCAGAAGAAGCACCGGCUAACUCCGUGCCAGCAGCCGCGGUAAUACGGAGGGUGCGAACGUUAAUCGGAAUUACUGGGCGUAAAGCGUGCGCAGGCGGUCUGUUAAGCGAGAUGUGAAAGCCCCGGGCUCAACCUGGGAACUGCAUUUCGAACUGGCAGACUAGAGUCUUGUAGAGGGGGUAGAAUUCCAGGUGUAGCGGUGAAAUGCGUAGAGAUCUGGAGGAAUACCGGUGGCGAAGGCGGCCCCUCGGACAAAGACUGACGCUCAGGCACGAAAGCGUGGGGAGCAAACAGGAUUAGAUACCCUGGUAGGCUCUGCU
RNAcentral lists this ribosomal RNA (473 nucleotides) under uncultured bacterium. RNAcentral describes it as "bacterial SSU rRNA". It matches the Rfam family "Bacterial small subunit ribosomal RNA", at positions 335 to 801 of the family's 1533-position model. The record is from RNAcentral.